Molecule: ribosomal RNA, 249 nt
Filed under: uncultured Rhodospirillales bacterium
Lineage: Bacteria; Pseudomonadati; Pseudomonadota; Alphaproteobacteria; Rhodospirillales
Description: partial 16S ribosomal RNA
Rfam family: Bacterial small subunit ribosomal RNA
Source: RNAcentral
UGGGGAAUCUUGGACAAUGGGCGAAAGCCUGAUCCAGCGACGCCGCGUGGGUGACGAAGGCCUUCGGGUUGUAAAGCCCUUUUCCCGGGGACGAUGGUGACGGUACCCGGGGAACAAGCACCGGCCAACUCCGUGCCAGCAGCCGCGGUAAGACGGAGGGUGCGAGCGUUGUUCGGAAUCACUGGGCGUAAAGGGCGCGUAGGCGGCCGCGCGUGUCGGGUGUGAAAGCCCGGGGCUCAACCCCGGAAC